CAUGCCGGGCAGCCUACCAUGCAAGUCGCACGCGAAAGGGGGCAACCCUGAGUAGAGUGGCGGACGGGUGCGUAACGCGUAGGAAUAUACCUGGUAGUGGGGGACAACCCGGCGAAAGCCGGGCUAAUACCGCAUACGAUCUACGGAUGAAAGCAGGGGACCGCAAGGCCUUGCGCUAUCAGAUUAGCCUGCGUCGGAUUAGCUAGUUGGUGAGGUAAUGGCUCACCAAGGCAACGAUCCGUAGCUGGUUUGAGAGAACGACCAGCCACACUGGGACUGAGACACGGCCCAGACUCCUACGGGAGGCAGUAGUGGGGAAUAUUGGACAAUGGGGGCAACCCUGAUCCAGCAAUGCCGCGUGUGUGAAGAAGGCCUUCGGGUUGUAAAGCACUUUCGAUGGGGAAAAACAAGCCAGACCUAAUACGUCUGGCCCUGAUGGUACCCAGAGAAGAAGCACCGGCUAACUCUGUGCCAGCAGCCGCGGUAAUACAGAGGGUGCAAGCGUUAAUCGGAAUUACUGGGCGUAAAGCGUGUGUAGGUGGUUUGUUAAGUCAGAUGUGAAAUCCCUGGGCUCAACCUGGGAACUGCAUUUGAUACUGUCAGACUAGAGUGUGGUAGAGGGUAGUGGAAUUCCGCAUGUAGCGGUGAAAUGCGUAGAGAUGCGGAGGAACACCAGUGGCGAAGGCGGCUACCUGGACCAACACUGACACUGAGGCACGAAAGCGUGGGUAGCAAACAGGAUUAGAUACCCUGGUAGUCCACGCCCUAAACGAUGGGUACUAGACGUCGGGAAGUUUAUCUUCUUGGUGUCGCAGCUAACGCAAUAAGUACCCCGCCUGGGGAGUACGGUCGCAAGAUUAAAACUCAAAGGAAUUGACGG
This 880-nucleotide ribosomal RNA is filed under the name uncultured Gammaproteobacteria bacterium. RNAcentral describes it as "bacterial SSU rRNA". It matches the Rfam family "Bacterial small subunit ribosomal RNA", at positions 36 to 916 of the family's 1533-position model. The record is from RNAcentral. Lineage: Bacteria; Pseudomonadati; Pseudomonadota; Gammaproteobacteria.